Molecule: long non-coding RNA, 436 nt
Filed under: Homo sapiens (human)
Lineage: Eukaryota; Metazoa; Chordata; Mammalia; Primates; Hominidae
Description: HSALNT0280816
Source: RNAcentral
UGAACUACUGCGCCCAGCCAAGUUCCUGAAAUCUCUUAUCUGUCUAAAAGCAGAAUCUACCAAAAAACAAAACAAAACAAAACCCUCGAUUGCCAUAAAUCCCCUCCCUGAGAGCAACAUAGAUGGAGAUGACAAGUUGGCACCACACCCAAACAGACAUUGUCACCAAACUCAUAUCUCCCAUCUAUUCUCCUAAGGGUUCAUUUAUCUUUCAAAAAAAAUCUUUAUUUUUCCAUAAAUGCCCUUCCCUAAUCCCCUUCUAAGAAGUUAUUAGUUCUCCCAGAAGUGUCCUCUGACCCUCCCCAUCCCCAAUUAAGAUGGUAUGUGAUAUGGUUUAGCUGUGUCCCCACCGAAAUCUCAUCUUGAAUUGUAGCUCCCAUAAUUCCCAUGUGUCAUGGGAGGGACUCAGUGGGAGGUAAUUGAAUCAUGGGGGCGG